UACGGGGUGGGCAAGCGUUGUUCGGAAUUACUGGGCGUAAAGGGCUCGUAGGUGGCCAACUAAGUCGGACGUGAAAUCCCUCAGCUUAACUGGGGAACUGCGUCCGAUACUGGAUGGCUUGAGUUUGGGAGAGGGAUGCGGAAUUCCAGGUGUAGCGGUGAAAUGCGUAGAUAUCUGGAGGAACACCGGUGGCGAAGGCGGCAUCCUGGACCAAAACUGACACUGAGGAGCGAAAGCCAGGGGAGCAAACGGG
RNAcentral lists this ribosomal RNA (253 nucleotides) under uncultured bacterium. Its description in RNAcentral is "partial 16S ribosomal RNA". It matches the Rfam family "Bacterial small subunit ribosomal RNA", at positions 524 to 776 of the family's 1533-position model. The record is from RNAcentral.